Molecule: ribosomal RNA, 419 nt
Filed under: uncultured bacterium
Lineage: Bacteria
Description: bacterial SSU rRNA
Rfam family: Bacterial small subunit ribosomal RNA
Source: RNAcentral
AUUGAACGCUGGCGGCAUGCCUUACACAUGCAAGUCGAACGGCAGCACGGGAGCUUGCUCCUGGUGGCGAGUGGCGAACGGGUGAGUAAUACAUCGGAACGUGCCCAAUCGUGGGGGGAUAACGUAGCGAAAGUUACGCUAAUACCGCAUACGAUCUACGGAUGAAAGCGGGGGAUCGCAAGACCUCGCGCGAAUGGAGCGGCCGAUGUCAGAUUAGGUAGUUGGUGGGGUAAAAGGCUCACCAAGCCAACGAUCUGUAGCUGGUCUGAGAGGACGACCAGCCACACUGGAACGUGAGACACGGUCCAGACUCCUACGGAGGCAGCAGUGGGGAAUUUUGGACAAUGGGCGCAAGCCUGAUCCAGCCAUUCCGCGUGCAGGAUGAAGGCCUUACGGGUUGGUAAACUGCUUUCGGACGG